Molecule: unclassified non-coding RNA, 414 nt
Filed under: uncultured Mortierella
Lineage: Eukaryota; Fungi; Mortierellomycota; Mortierellomycetes; Mortierellales; Mortierellaceae
Description: partial contains 5.8S ribosomal RNA, internal transcribed spacer 2, and large subunit ribosomal RNA
Rfam family: 5.8S ribosomal RNA (bases 1-105)
Source: RNAcentral
GAAAUGCGAUACGUAAUGUGAAUUGCAGAAUUCAGUGAAUCAUCGAAUCUUUGAACGCAUAUUGCGCUCUUUGGUAUUCCGAAGAGCAUGCUUGUUUGAGUAUCAGUAAACACCUCAACCAAAAUUCUUUUUUUUUGAAUUUUGGGUGGAUUUGAGCAAACCCAACGGCAAAUGUGUGCUGGCGGGUUGCUUAAAAUGCAGGUGCAGCUGUGACAAGAACAGACUGAGCUAAAAGCAUAUCUAUUUAGUCCGUUUCGGCGGAUUAUCUCUAAUUUGCUGCAGCUACUCUAAGGUCCUCUUGUGUGAGCUGACUGAUGCAGGAUUUUGUUAGAGCUUUUCUUCUUCUUUUUUAGAAGAAAAGGAUUCUUUCAAAAACUCGAUCUCAAAUCAAGUAAGACUACCCGCUGAACUUAA